GUAUGAUAUAAUUUUUCCAUUAUAAUUUUCUAUGCCAAAUAUAGAUUUCAGUAUAUAAGAAUUUAUAAGCAUUGUUUGUUGUAAAAAGUAUUUUAGGCAUUAUUAAUAAUAGUUCACAGUUCUCUUUAAAUAGAGUCAUUUUUGUCUUGUUUUUCUUCCUCUUCAAAUCUCCUGAAAAUAAUCCAAAGUCCUCCCUGGUCAGUUUGACCAGGAACAGUCAUGUG
Pelobates cultripes (western spadefoot toad) is the source of this 224-nucleotide non-coding RNA. The record is from the annotation of a GenBank genome assembly. NCBI's taxonomy places the organism in Eukaryota, Metazoa, Chordata, Amphibia, Anura, Pelobatidae.